UGUUGAGGCUAGAUAACUUCGUAUGGCUGUGAGUGAUCUGAGGGACAUCUUCUCCAAGUGUUGGACUAGCAAAGAUCAAGUUCUCCUUGGUAUGAUAAUUAUUUCUAACCUAUCUUGAUCGUAUUGUCAGAUCUAAUAGUUAGAUCUUCAUGGCAGCAUCGAUUAGAUCGAUGCAAGUUUUUAUGUUCAGAUCUAAAGUGUAUCUUAAUUCAUA
RNAcentral lists this long non-coding RNA (214 nucleotides) under Elaeis guineensis (African oil palm). Its description in RNAcentral is "long non-coding RNA (EGUI_LNC059283)". The record is from RNAcentral. Lineage: Eukaryota; Viridiplantae; Streptophyta; Magnoliopsida; Arecales; Arecaceae.